Molecule: unclassified non-coding RNA, 221 nt
Filed under: Hevea brasiliensis (rubber tree)
Lineage: Eukaryota; Viridiplantae; Streptophyta; Magnoliopsida; Malpighiales; Euphorbiaceae
Source: RNAcentral
GGGAUAUCUCUUAUUGAAGCUGACCGAUUACUAAGACCUGGAGGUUAUUUUGUUUUAACGUCUCCCACAGGCAAGACAGUUGGAGGUUCACUGUCUUCCAAGAAGAUAAACAUUGUGACACCAUUGGAAGAGAUGACCCGAAAAUUAUGUUGGAGUCUUUUGGCUCAGCAAUAUGAAACUUAUAUUUGGCAGAAAACUGUGGAUGCUCAUUGCUAUUUAUC